RNAcentral lists this ribosomal RNA (414 nucleotides) under uncultured bacterium. RNAcentral describes it as "bacterial SSU rRNA". It matches the Rfam family "Bacterial small subunit ribosomal RNA", at positions 355 to 766 of the family's 1533-position model. The record is from RNAcentral.
UGAGGAAUAUUGGUCAAUGGGCGGAAGCCUGAACCAGCCAUCCCGCGUGCAGGAAGACGGCCCUAUGGGUUGUAAACUGCUCUUCCAGGGGGAGAAACUUUCCGAUGAAUCGGGAUUUGACGGUACCCUGGGAAUAAGCAUCGGCUAGCUCCGUGCCAGCAGCCGCGGUAAUACGGAGGAUGCGAGCGUUAUCCGGAUUUAUUGGGUUUAAAGGGUGCGUAGGCGGAUCGAUAAGUCAGUGGUGAAAACCUGCAGCUUAACUGUAGACUUGCCGUUGAUACUGUUGGUCUUGAGUAUGGUCAAGGUAGGCGGAAUGUGUAAUGUAGCGGUGAAAUGCUUAGAUAUUACACAGAACACCGAUUGCGAAGGCAGCUUACUGGACCAUCACUGACGCUGAUGCACGAAAGCGUGGGG